AAAUUAAAAUAUAUUACUAAUUUAUUUUUUUUAAUUAAUUUUUUAAUUUAAGUUAAUUUAUGCGAUAAGUAUGACUUUUAAGUUAAAGUUUAGUUCUGACUUUAAGAUUUAUUGUUAUUUUUAUUUAAUAUAUAAAUUAUUGUGGUUUCAGUAAGAUUUUAAAUAGAUUUUAUUAUAUUUAAGUAGUAUUUAUAAUUAUAAAUAAAUAAAAAUGAUUUUUGUUUUAGAAUAUAUUAUUAAAAUUGAAAAAAUUUGUGCCAGCAUUCGCGGUUAGACAAAGUAAUUUAAGUAAAUCGUGUAAAUUUUAUAAUUAUUAAUAAUUAUAUUUUUAAUAUUUUAAUAAAAGAAAAUAAAUUAAGGUGAAAUUUUAUUGUUUUUUAAUUAAAAUUUAAUUUUAAAUAUAUAAUGUUAUUAUGAAAAUUAAAGUUUAAACUAGGAUUAGAUACCCUAUUAUUUUAAUUGUAAAUAUUUUUUGAUUUUUAUUUUAUUUUGUGUAAAAUUAAUUUUGGUGUGUGAUUAGGUAGUAAUAGGUAUGGUCUUGAAACUUAAAGAAUUUGACGGUAAUUCAUUCAUUUUAGAGGAACUUGUUUUUUAAUUGAUAAUCCACGAUAUAAUUUACCUAAAUUUUUUAGUUUGUAUAUCGUCGUUUAAAAAAAAUUUUUUAAGAAUUUUUAAUUUUUAAAAUAUUAUUAUUUAUUUAUAAAAAUUUUAAUAAUAUGAAUUCAGAUCAAGGUGCAGUUUUUAUUUAGGAUAAAAUGAGUUACAAUAAAAUUUUAUUUAUUACGGAUUUAGUAAUGUAUAUUAUUAAUGAAGGAGGAUUUAAAAGUAAAUUUAAAUGAUUUUUUAAAUUGAAAAUUGUUUUGAAUUAUGUACAUAUCGCCCGUCGCUCUCGUUAUAAAAUGAGAUAAGUCGUAACAAAGUAAAAGUACUGGAAAGUGUUUUUAGAAUUAUUAUUUUUUUAUAUA
Molecule: non-coding RNA, 965 nt
Filed under: Syrista sp. 1 GYN-2021c
Lineage: Eukaryota; Metazoa; Arthropoda; Insecta; Hymenoptera; Cephidae
Source: RNAcentral